GUAACGGCAUGUUGGAUCCCUGCUCGGGCAGCGACAACAUCCCGUCCGCAUCUCUUCAGUUGUUGGUGCGAGCAAGUGCUCGUCCGGCGUCGGUUUUCCUGUGCUGAAUUCCUAUCAUGAGGGCAUUCUAUCGGCUACCAUCGUCUCAUUCCCRUCCUGUGCUGCUGCCCAAGUGGGCUGGCGGUGCGGGGUGGGCCAAACAGCGCACGUUGUGUCUCGCGCCCCGAAUGCCCAUUAAACGGUGUUCGGGCCGACGAAGCACGACGGAUCGCUCGGUCUCUCGGGUACRGAACAUCAUGUGGGUACGGGGCCCUUGGCCUUGGAGCACCACAAAAAAGCGUUCUACGCUUCGUGCGAACGACCGUUGGCUCAAUCUCCUGUCGUGCCCCCGUGGUUCGGUUCGGUGUUGGGCCGACGUCGGUGAGGAAUGCUACCU
Molecule: unclassified non-coding RNA, 436 nt
Filed under: Schizonepeta multifida
Lineage: Eukaryota; Viridiplantae; Streptophyta; Magnoliopsida; Lamiales; Lamiaceae
Description: partial external transcribed spacer
Source: RNAcentral